RNAcentral lists this ribosomal RNA (505 nucleotides) under uncultured bacterium. RNAcentral's name for it is "bacterial SSU rRNA". It matches the Rfam family "Bacterial small subunit ribosomal RNA", at positions 37 to 518 of the family's 1533-position model. The record is from RNAcentral.
UGGCGGCGUGCCUAACACAUGCAAGUCGAACGAUUCUUUGAUUAUAGCAAUAUUAUUAAAGAGGAGUGGCGAACGGGUGAGUAACACGUAGAUAAUCUGCCUUCAGACGGGGACAACUCAGGGAAACUUGUGCUAAUACCCGAUGAGACCACAAGAAGGGAUUUUUGUGGCCAAAGGCGGGCAGCAAUGCUCGUGCUGAAAGAUGAGUCUGCGUCCUAUCAGCUAGUUGGUGGGGUAAAUGCCUACCAAGGCUAAGACGGGUAGCCGGCCUGAGAGGGUGAACGGCCACACUGGGACUGAGACACGGCCCAGACUCCUACGGGAGGCAGCAGUGAGGAAUUUUCCGCAAUGGGCGCAAGCCUGACGGAGCGACGCCGCGUGAGGGAUGAACCAGCUUUCGGGUUGUAAACCUCUUUUAUUAAGGAAAAAGAUCUAUAUGCUAAUAUCAUGUAGAUUUGAUGGUACUUAUUGAAUAAGCCCCGGCUAACUACGUGCCAGCCGCAGC